CAGUAGGCGGCCAACUAAGUCGGAUGUGAAAUCCCCAGGCUUAACCUGGGAACUGCAUCCGAUACUGGAUGGCUUGAAUUCGGGAGAGGGAUGCAGAAUUCCAGGUGUAGCGGUGAAAUGCGUAGAUAUCUGGAGGAAUACCGGUGGCGAAGGCGGCAUCCUGGACCGACAUUGACGCUGAACGGCGAAAGCUAGGGGAGCAAACG
This 206-nucleotide ribosomal RNA is filed under the name uncultured bacterium. RNAcentral describes it as "partial 16S ribosomal RNA". It matches the Rfam family "Bacterial small subunit ribosomal RNA", at positions 569 to 774 of the family's 1533-position model. The record is from RNAcentral.